RNAcentral lists this unclassified non-coding RNA (258 nucleotides) under Chytridiomycota sp. RNAcentral's name for it is "partial contains small subunit ribosomal RNA, internal transcribed spacer 1, and 5.8S ribosomal RNA". The stretch from base 1 to 47 matches the Rfam family "Eukaryotic small subunit ribosomal RNA", at positions 1785 to 1831 of the family's 1831-position model. The record is from RNAcentral. Lineage: Eukaryota; Fungi; Chytridiomycota.
AAAGUCGUAACAAGGUAACCGUAGGUGAACCUGCGGUUGGAUCAUUAUUGAUACAACGGUCUUGGAGUCCUCUUUGGAGUUGAUUCCUCGACCUUACCCACCCCAUGUGCAAUCUAACCGUUUUUUGGGACUGUUUCUGGUGUAUUUAAUUUCAAUUAUUGCACAAAGAAUGGUCCCAGCAGUAUUAACCACUAUUAAUUUGACUGAUAUGAAACCAAGAAUCAAUAACAACUUUUGACAACGGAUCUCUUGGCUCUC